UCUACCCGACGACGGUGUGCUAACCCGCAAGGGAGGCAGCCGGCCACGGUAGGCUCAGCGACUGGGGUGAAGUCGUAACAAGGUAGCCGUAGGUGAACCUGCAGAAGGAUCA
This 112-nucleotide ribosomal RNA is filed under the name uncultured eukaryote. RNAcentral's name for it is "partial small subunit ribosomal RNA". It matches the Rfam family "Bacterial small subunit ribosomal RNA", at positions 1416 to 1525 of the family's 1533-position model. The record is from RNAcentral.